AUGGCGCAUAGAUGGAUCAUGAAAUUGUUAAUGUUGCUAUCCGUUUCCCAGACGACAAGGUGCACGCUUCCCGUCCAACUCACUAUUGCCUCGCCACCGUUCCUCAGUUGGAUCGGGAGAGGGGCGUCACUUGCGGCUGGACCGGAGAAGAAAGUGACUAGAGAGGGAACUGACGAUGGGAGAGGUGAUUUCUUGCUUCCCUGUCUGAUCAUCUGUACCCGAUAUCUUUUAACGUUCUCCUCUCAUCAAGGUCUUCUGUCGUCCUGUUGCUCAUUUACACUCAUUUUCUUGUUGGGAUGCGGUUAG
Molecule: ribosomal RNA, 306 nt
Filed under: Triticum aestivum (bread wheat)
Lineage: Eukaryota; Viridiplantae; Streptophyta; Magnoliopsida; Poales; Poaceae
Description: partial small subunit ribosomal RNA
Source: RNAcentral